AACACCCAGUUGCAAAAAGGAAAGAAAAAAAACUGUGUAAUAGAUGUAAAACGACAUGUAGUAAACAAAUAUGGAAAAAGGGGGUGGUGGAGUGGAGAGAGGACUCAGAAAAUUUACACAAUCAAACUCAAAGGAUCUGAAAACUCAACGUUAACACUCGGUCACAAAAAUGAAAAAAAAAAUAGUGUAAUAGGUGGAAAACAACAUGUAGUAUAUGAAAAAAAAUGCACACUGGUGAACGAAGUGGGGAGAGAGGACUCGGAAAUUUCACUUGCCCAAGGUGCCAUGCAGUGGAACUGAACCCAGAACCAUGUGGUUAGGAAGAAUAUCCAUUUUCUUGAGGGAAAAAAUUGGAUCGUGUGAAUUGUCCUGGUCCUCCCCAGUUUUCCAGCAAGUGCCUUCAACUUUAGCCUUGGGCCAACCAAUGUGUCCUGGAGGCUGAAGGUGGCAUUUCAGAGGAAAAAUUAUCUAUGCUAUAAACAAAGAUGAAAACAAAAAUUUGCACAUGAAAUUUUUUCGAUUCUGUCUUCUGCAUAAUGGUAUUUACAGAAACAAUUGCAGUGUAGAUGUUUGUAAGCCAUUAAAGAACACACACACACACACACACACACAAA
Molecule: long non-coding RNA, 614 nt
Organism: Octopus sinensis (East Asian common octopus)
Lineage: Eukaryota; Metazoa; Mollusca; Cephalopoda; Octopoda; Octopodidae
Exons: 2
Source: RefSeq, a predicted model, not a curated record